CCUACGGGGGGCAGCAGUGAGGAAUAUUGGUCAAUGGGCGAGAGCCUGAACCAGCCAAGUCGCAUGAAGGAUGACGGCCCUACGGGUUGUAAACCUCUUUUGUCGGGGAGCAAAGCGAGUCACGUGUGACUCAUUGAGAGUACCCGAAGAAAAAGCAUCGGCUAACUCCGUGCCAGCAGCCGCGGUAAUACGGAGGAUGCGAGCGUUAUCCGGAUUGAUUGGGUUUAAAGGGUGCGCAGGCGGAGGUGCAAGUCAGCGGUCAAAUUGCGGGGCUCAACCCCGUACUGCCGUUGAAACUGAAUACCUUGAGUGCGCGAGAGGUAUGCGGAACGCGUGGUGUAGCGGUGAAAUGCAUAGAUA
RNAcentral lists this ribosomal RNA (360 nucleotides) under uncultured bacterium. RNAcentral describes it as "partial 16S ribosomal RNA". It matches the Rfam family "Bacterial small subunit ribosomal RNA", at positions 338 to 696 of the family's 1533-position model. The record is from RNAcentral.